Molecule: non-coding RNA, 3947 nt
Organism: Rattus norvegicus (Norway rat)
Lineage: Eukaryota; Metazoa; Chordata; Mammalia; Rodentia; Muridae
Source: RefSeq, a predicted model, not a curated record
GGACACUGUGAUAUUAAAGCAGAUAUCUUGAUUGAGAGAAAUAAUGAAACCAAAUAGAGAGAAUGUGAGUGAGAAACUGAGAAGCUAGGAGAGUCACUGCAAGUCAAUUUCAGAGAGAAAGUGAAGAAGCGAGAUAGAGAAAGAGUACAUAAGAAGUCCAUUCAUCUAAUGUGGAUGAGAAUCUUAUAUGAUAUUUGAAUCGGUUCUCAUCAAAGGCAGAGUAGGAAUAAUAGGUGUAGUAUGUUAUGAUUAUGGAGGGUGCUCCGAUUGUGGCCAAAGCUAUUAAGAUUCUGGUGUUUUCCAUGGGAAGAGUAAGGCCUGAUUUUCUCUGUCAUAUCCGGCUGAACUGAGAUUUACUUAUUUUUGUAGACAACUUCCAUUAAGCCAUGUUGUUGGUCUCAUUCUUUUGUGUACCUCGUGCCAAUUUCUUUGGAUGGUUCUCAAGUGAUGUAUAUACUACUGUAGUUUUCGUUAUCAGAUAUUGACUUCGUCCCAUCUUAAGAACUUUGUUGCAUGGUAACCUCCAGGAAUUCGGUGAUAGAAUUGGGAAAAUUAUGUCCCCAACAGUUCCUUGGAGGAAAAAUAUCUCUGAUAUGGAUUGUGAGGGCAAAUUUCUAGAGGACGGAAGGAGUGCUGAGAGAGCCCAAGUGUUCGAUAAAUUAAGAACUAACAACAAUGCAUCACAGUCUCCAUGAUUUGCAAGGAAUCCAAUAAAGUGGGGGAAUGUGCUAUUUGCUUUACUUUCAGGGACAGAGUCCCUGUCUCAUACCGGACAAGCACGGCUUGGAGAGGAACUGAGUAUGGAACAUCAGAUGAUGUUGGAAGAAGCCUAACAUCGCCUGCCCUGAUGUCAUCAGUUGAAGCUCUCUUGCCUGAGAAUACGUGAAGUGAAAGGGACAGAGUCCCUGUCUCAUACCGGACAAGCACGGCUUGGAGAGGAACUGAGUAUGGAACAUCAGAUGAAGUUGGAAGAAGCCUAACAUCGCCUGCCCUGAAGUCCUCAGUUGAAGCUCUCUUGCCUGAGGAUACCUGAAGUGAAAGGUAAGAAACACUUGACUUUCCAAAGGAAAUCAAAGUACUCAGGUGUUGAUGGAGCUCGCAGGAAUUCCCAACCUUGAAUCAUGAUCCUUUGGGACCUGGUUCAGGCUCACUGCCUGUGGCUACGCCUGUGAUUGGAGAAUAGGCCCAUUGGUUCGUGGUAAAGGAUGUGAAUGUCUUGAAUUCUGUUCGCUCACCAAACCUGAUCUAUUUUGAGUAUACUAAGUGUCAUGGCAGGGGGUACACCAGCGUGCUUGGAUCGAUGAUGAUUUCCAAAAAAACAUUCCUUGGAAAGCUGAACAAAAUGAGUGAAAACUCAAUACCGCCACUGUCAUCGUGACUGAGGUCCAGCACCUGGGAUCACAAAUGUCACUGAGGGACUCACAUGGCCUCCAUUCACCUUGCGAGACUUGGAUCCAGUGAGAGAGCCUUCAGAAUGUUCUUUGCUUGCCUAAAUCACCAGAAAUCAUGGCCUAAAUCAAGGCUUCACCUUUUGCUCUAAUGAUAACAUGCUUUCCGGUUGAGGAGAUCAUUGUCAGUAUCUUUGAAGUUAGCCCUACCAACUCCAUCAGCAAUAAUGUAUAGUAGGUUGUGAGGCAAAUGUAAGUUUAGCGGGGGCAGCAUAGUUCAACAAUGUACACUGGAAUGUCAGGAAAUGUGUUUCUGUCCGUGUCUGAAUCCUUCGCAUGAAUGAUAACCCUUCUGUUUCAUAAAACAGAGAUACAUAACGGGAAGGUUACAGGCGACAUGUGGAAUGAGGCAGUAGCAAUUCUCAGGAACUAUGGGAAUGUGGACUCUUCCUGUGUGAAAACAAAGCUCUGUUUUCUUGAAAGACUGAUUGUGGCCAUGGCAUUUAGGUUAGAAAGAGAGCCUUGGAAUUUAAAAGGUUGGCAUGUAGCCUUCUUGUCGGAGGAUUCUAGAAGUGCAUGCUUUCAAAUGUCCAAGGAUUCAUACCACCUUCAUGGAUGUAUGGAGAACACCCAUUUUAAUCCUAGUUUCUAUGUUUAUUGUUGGGACAUUUAUUGUCAGUCUAUCCGGGUAGGUUGCCACUAGUUCUUAUGGAUUGACUGUACCAAAAUGGUCUGGACAUACAUCUCCUCCUCUUCUAGGAUCUAAGAAUGUGAUCAUGCAAGUUUGUUUCUUACACACACUCCUUCUAGGAAUUUUAUAUUUUGGUAUGGCCGUAGGAGAUAGGCAUGGAGUGUCUGCAGGAUUAUCUUUCCUUAUGGUCUUGAUGAGGCCUUGCUGAAGGUUAACUUGGCAUUCUGGCUAUGUGUUUUGGGGCUGAAGGUAGUCCUGAUAUCUUAGACAUUGUUCUUUUCUCCAAGCAAAUAUCAACAAGAAAUUGUGUUUCCAUUUGAUUAUGAAAGUGAGCUGUAUGCUUAGGAUCAUGCUGUUGAUAAUAACAUAUAUCUCAGGGACUACAGGUUAUGCUUGUGUUUGGUGACCUGAGAGGGUUUGAACAGACACUUUCUCUGUGGUGAUCAAUGUCAGAUACCGCAGCAAUAGCACUCACAGGAAUUUAGUACCAGUCAAAAUCUGAAUAGGAGAUAUAUGAGCAUGGUCAGAGACAGAGAGAAAGAACAAUUGUUGAAGAGGCUAAGCAUGUGUGAGACAGAGGAAGACAGUGAGAGACAGAAAGAGAGAGGGGUGGGAGAGGGGGGGUGAAGUGGAAAAGAGGACACUGUGAUAUUAAAGCAGAUAUCUUGAUUGAGAGAAAUAAGGAAACCAAAUAGAGAGAAUGUGAGUGAGAAACUGAGAAGCUAGGAGAGUCACUGCAAGUCAAUUUCAGAGAGAAAGUGAAGAAGCGAGAGAGAGAAAGAGUACAUAAGAAGUCCAUUCAUCUAAUGUGGAUGAGAAUCUUAUAUGAUAUUUGAAUCGGUUCUCAUCGAAGGCAGAGUAGGAAUAAUAGGUGUAGUAUGUUAUGAUUAUGGAGGGUGCUCCGAUUGUGGCCAAAGCUAUUAAGAUUCUGGUGGUUUCCAUGGGAAGAGUAAGGCCUGAUUUUCUCUGUCAUAUCCGGCUGAACUGAGAUUUACUUAUUUUUGUAGACAACUUCCAUUAAGCCAUGUUGUUGGUCUCAUUCUUUUGUGUACCUCGUGCCAAUUUCUUUGGAUGGUUCUCAAGUGAUGUAUAUACUACUGUAGUUUUCGUUAUCAGAUAUUGACUUCGUCCCAUCUUAAGAACUUUGUCGCAUGGUAACCUCCAGGAAUUCGGUGAUAGAAUUGGGAAAAUUAUGUCCCCAAACAGUUCCUUGGAGGAAAAAUAUCUCUGAUAUGGAUUGUGAGGGCAAAUUUCUAGAGGACGGAAGGAGUGCUGAGAGAGCCCAAGUGUUCGAUAAAUUAAGAACUAACAACAAUGCAUCACAGUCUCCAUGAUUUGCAAGGAAUCCAAUAAAGUGGGGGAAUGUGCUAUUUGCUUUACUUUCAGGGACAGAGUCCCUGUCUCAUACCGGACAAGCACGGCUUGGAGAGGAACUGAGUAUGGAACAUCAGAUGAAGUUGGAAGAAGCCUAACAUCGCCUGCCCUGAAGUCCUCAGUUGAAGCUCUCUUGCCUGAGGAUACCUGAAGUGAAAGGUAAGAAACACUUGACUUUCCAAAGGAAAUCAAAGUACUCAGGUGUUGAUGGAGCUCGCAGGAGUUCCCAACCUUGAAUCAUGAUCCUUUGGGACCUGGUUCAGGCUCACUGCCUGUGGCUACGCCUGUGAUUGGAGAAUAGGCCCAUUGGUUCGUGGUAAAGGAUGUGAAUGUCUUGAAUUCUGUUCGCUCACCAAACCUGAUCUAUUUUGAGUAUACUAAGUGUCAUGGCAGGGGGUACACCAGCGUGCUUGGAUCGAUGAUGAUUUCCAAAAAAACAUUCCUUGGAAAGCUGAACAAAAUGAGUGAAAACUCAAUACCGCCACUGUCAUCGU